Molecule: long non-coding RNA, 705 nt
Organism: Topomyia yanbarensis
Lineage: Eukaryota; Metazoa; Arthropoda; Insecta; Diptera; Culicidae
Exons: 2
Source: RefSeq, a predicted model, not a curated record
UUCACAGAUAACGGCAAGUGUGGUGCUUUUCUCUCGACAUGAAGUUCAACCAAUUAUUCGUCUACGUCCUGCUGGCCGCUGUGCUACUACUCGGACAAACCGAGGCUGGCUUUCUGAAGAAAUUUGGCAAAAAACUGGAAGGAGUUGGUCAGCGAGUGUUCGCGGCAUCGGAAAAGGCUCUCCCAGUUGUUGCUGGAUAUAAGGCGGUAGGAAAGUGAUGUGAAGUUACUGCAACAGGUGGACGACGUAACUUUCAACGCUAUUUCCAAGGUAGUAAAAAAUUAUUUGUGAUUGGUUCAAGCUGUUGGUAGAAUUGGUAGGAAAUAAAAAAGUUUUAUAACAGUGCAGAAUUUCUGUGAUUGAUUGCCGACUAACGAUAUAGAUUAACCAAUUUUUGUGAAGUUACAACGGGUUCAACUUUAUGCGCGUCAUAUGUCAAAUUUAACUUCAAUCAGCUUCCAGCGGAAAAAUUGUGUAUUUUCAGUGUCCAGUAAUUAUAAAUCGGUUUUUGUGGACAAGUUUACCGGUAAGCUAACGAGCUAGUAGGGAAUCUAUCGUUGGGGUGAUCGUGAUGGAACGUAUACAGCCAUUUAUUAGAUUUCUUAGAACAUUUUGACGAGUUGCGACUACAGUAAGAUUGAAUAACUCGGAAACGAUUCGAUAUAUGGAAAAAUAUAAAAAUAAAAACGUUGUGUUUUCAAAAAA